Molecule: ribosomal RNA, 54 nt
Filed under: Paramyrothecium roridum
Lineage: Eukaryota; Fungi; Ascomycota; Sordariomycetes; Hypocreales; Stachybotryaceae
Description: partial 18S ribosomal RNA
Rfam family: Eukaryotic small subunit ribosomal RNA
Source: RNAcentral
GGAACUAAAAGUCGUAACAAGGUCUCCGUUGGUGAACCAGCGGAGGGAUCAUUA